RNAcentral lists this ribosomal RNA (2787 nucleotides) under Escherichia coli. Its description in RNAcentral is "bacterial LSU rRNA". It matches the Rfam family "Bacterial large subunit ribosomal RNA". Lineage: Bacteria; Pseudomonadati; Pseudomonadota; Gammaproteobacteria; Enterobacterales; Enterobacteriaceae. The record is from RNAcentral.
AGCGUACACGGUGGAUGCCCUGGCAGUCAGAGGCGAUGAAGGACGUGCUAAUCUGCGAUAAGCGUCGGUAAGGUGAUAUGAACCGUUAUAACCGGCGAUUUCCGAAUGGGGAAACCCAGUGUGUUUCGACACACUAUCAUUAACUGAAUCCAUAGGUUAAUGAGGCGAACCGGGGGAACUGAAACAUCUAAGUACCCCGAGGAAAAGAAAUCAACCGAGAUUCCCCCAGUAGCGGCGAGCGAACGGGGAGCAGCCCAGAGCCUGAAUCAGUGUGUGUGUUAGUGGAAGCGUCUGGAAAGGCGCGCGAUACAGGGUGACAGCCCCGUACACAAAAAUGCACAUGCUGUGAGCUCGAUGAGUAGGGCGGGACACGUGGUAUCCUGUCUGAAUAUGGGGGGACCAUCCUCCAAGGCUAAAUACUCCUGACUGACCGAUAGUGAACCAGUACCGUGAGGGAAAGGCGAAAAGAACCCCGGCGAGGGGAGUGAAAAAGAACCUGAAACCGUGUACGUACAAGCAGUGGGAGCACGCUUAGGCGUGUGACUGCGUACCUUUUGUAUAAUGGGUCAGCGACUUAUAUUCUGUAGCAAGGUUAACCGAAUAGGGGAGCCGAAGGGAAACCGAGUCUUAACUGGGCGUUAAGUUGCAGGGUAUAGACCCGAAACCCGGUGAUCUAGCCAUGGGCAGGUUGAAGGUUGGGUAACACUAACUGGAGGACCGAACCGACUAAUGUUGAAAAAUUAGCGGAUGACUUGUGGCUGGGGGUGAAAGGCCAAUCAAACCGGGAGAUAGCUGGUUCUCCCCGAAAGCUAUUUAGGUAGCGCCUCGUGAAUUCAUCUCCGGGGGUAGAGCACUGUUUCGGCAAGGGGGUCAUCCCGACUUACCAACCCGAUGCAAACUGCGAAUACCGGAGAAUGUUAUCACGGGAGACACACGGCGGGUGCUAACGUCCGUCGUGAAGAGGGAAACAACCCAGACCGCCAGCUAAGGUCCCAAAGUCAUGGUUAAGUGGGAAACGAUGUGGGAAGGCCCAGACAGCCAGGAUGUUGGCUUAGAAGCAGCCAUCAUUUAAAGAAAGCGUAAUAGCUCACUGGUCGAGUCGGCCUGCGCGGAAGAUGUAACGGGGCUAAACCAUGCACCGAAGCUGCGGCAGCGACGCUGAUGCGUUGUUGGGUAGGGGAGCGUUCUGUAAGCCUGUGAAGGUGUGCUGUGAGGCAUGCUGGAGGUAUCAGAAGUGCGAAUGCUGACAUAAGUAACGAUAAAGCGGGUGAAAAGCCCGCUCGCCGGAAGACCAAGGGUUCCUGUCCAACGUUAAUCGGGGCAGGGUGAGUCGACCCCUAAGGCGAGGCCGAAAGGCGUAGUCGAUGGGAAACAGGUUAAUAUUCCUGUACUUGGUGUUACUGCGAAGGGGGGACGGAGAAGGCUAUGUUGGCCGGGCGACGGUUGUCCCGGUUUAAGCGUGUAGGCUGGUUUUCCAGGCAAAUCCGGAAAAUCAAGGCUGAGGCGUGAUGACGAGGCACUACGGUGCUGAAGCAACAAAUGCCCUGCUUCCAGGAAAAGCCUCUAAGCAUCAGGUAACAUCAAAUCGUACCCCAAACCGACACAGGUGGUCAGGUAGAGAAUACCAAGGCGCUUGAGAGAACUCGGGUGAAGGAACUAGGCAAAAUGGUGCCGUAACUUCGGGAGAAGGCACGCUGAUAUGUAGGUGAAGUCCCUCGCGGAUGGAGCUGAAAUCAGUCGAAGAUACCAGCUGGCUGCAACUGUUUAUUAAAAACACAGCACUGUGCAAACACGAAAGUGGACGUAUACGGUGUGACGCCUGCCCGGUGCCGGAAGGUUAAUUGAUGGGGUCAGCGCAAGCGAAGCUCUUGAUCGAAGCCCCGGUAAACGGCGGCCGUAACUAUAACGGUCCUAAGGUAGCGAAAUUCCUUGUCGGGUAAGUUCCGACCUGCACGAAUGGCGUAAUGAUGGCCAGGCUGUCUCCACCCGAGACUCAGUGAAAUUGAACUCGCUGUGAAGAUGCAGUGUACCCGCGGCAAGACGGAAAGACCCCGUGAACCUUUACUAUAGCUUGACACUGAACAUUGAGCCUUGAUGUGUAGGAUAGGUGGGAGGCUUAGAAGUGUGGACGCCAGUCUGCAUGGAGCCGACCUUGAAAUACCACCCUUUAAUGUUUGAUGUUCUAACGUUGACCCGUAAUCCGGGUUGCGGACAGUGUCUGGUGGGUAGUUUGACUGGGGCGGUCUCCUCCUAAAGAGUAACGGAGGAGCACGAAGGUUGGCUAAUCCUGGUCGGACAUCAGGAGGUUAGUGCAAUGGCAUAAGCCAGCUUGACUGCGAGCGUGACGGCGCGAGCAGGUGCGAAAGCAGGUCAUAGUGAUCCGGUGGUUCUGAAUGGAAGGGCCAUCGCUCAACGGAUAAAAGGUACUCCGGGGAUAACAGGCUGAUACCGCCCAAGAGUUCAUAUCGACGGCGGUGUUUGGCACCUCGAUGUCGGCUCAUCACAUCCUGGGGCUGAAGUAGGUCCCAAGGGUAUGGCUGUUCGCCAUUUAAAGUGGUACGCGAGCUGGGUUUAGAACGUCGUGAGACAGUUCGGUCCCUAUCUGCCGUGGGCGCUGGAGAACUGAGGGGGGCUGCUCCUAGUACGAGAGGACCGGAGUGGACGCAUCACUGGUGUUCGGGUUGUCAUGCCAAUGGCACUGCCCGGUAGCUAAAUGCGGAAGAGAUAAGUGCUGAAAGCAUCUAAGCACGAAACUUGCCCCGAGAUGAGUUCUCCCUGACUCCUUGA